GGGCAUAACUCUGUAAGACCAGUGGAUUUAUCUAUGAAUAGGGUGAUGUCAUGCCAUAGACAGUUGGACAAGUCUGUCCUUGGUAAUAUAUGGUUGCUUGAGACCAGAAGAGCACAUGUCUGA
Herpailurus yagouaroundi (jaguarundi) is the source of this 123-nucleotide long non-coding RNA. RefSeq lists it as uncharacterized. The record is from RefSeq and is a predicted model, not a curated record. Lineage: Eukaryota; Metazoa; Chordata; Mammalia; Carnivora; Felidae. The transcript is spliced from 3 exons.